GGGUUGUGAGGUUAAGCGACUAAGCGUACACGGUGGAUGCCCUGGCAGUCAGAGGCGAUGAAGGGCGUGCUAAUCUGCGAUAAGCGCCGGUAAGGUGAUAUGAACCGUUAUAACCGGCGAUACCCGAAUGGGGAAACCCAGUGUGAUUCGUCACACUAUCAUUAACUGAAUCCAUAGGUUAAUGAGGCGAACCGGGGGAACUGAAACAUCUAAGUACCCCGAGGAAAAGAAAUCAACCGAGAUUCCCCCAGUAGCGGCGAGCGAACGGGGAGGAGCCCAGAGCCUGAAUCAGCAUGUGUGUUAGUGGAAGCGUCUGGAAAGGCGCGCGAUACAGGGUGACAGCCCCGUACACAAAAGCGCAUGUGCUGUGAGCUCGAUGAGUAGGGCGGGACACGUGGUAUCCUGUCUGAAUAUGGGGGGACCAUCCUCCAAGGCUAAAUACUCCUGACUGACCGAUAGUGAACCAGUACCGUGAGGGAAAGGCGAAAAGAACCCCGGCGAGGGGAGUGAAAAAGAACCUGAAACCGUGUACGUACAAGCAGUGGGAGCACCCUUUGGGGUGUGACUGCGUACCUUUUGUAUAAUGGGUCAGCGACUUAUAUUCUGUAGCAAGGUUAACCGUAUAGGGGAGCCGGAGGGAAACCGAGUCUUAAUUGGGCGUUAAGUUGCAGGGUAUAGACCCGAAACCCGGUGAUCUAGCCAUGGGCAGGUUGAAGGUUGGGUAACACUAACUGGAGGACCGAACCGACUAAUGUUGAAAAAUUAGCGGAUGACCUGUGGCUGGGGGUGAAAGGCCAAUCAAACCGGGAGAUAGCUGGUUCUCCCCGAAAGCUAUUUAGGUAGCGCCUCGUGAAUUCAUCUCCGGGGGUAGAGCACUGUUUCGGCUAGGGGGCCAUCCCGGCUUACCAACCCGAUGCAAACUGCGAAUACCGGAGAAUGUUAUCACGGGAGACACACGGCGGGUGCUAACGUCCGUCGUGAAGAGGGAAACAACCCAGACCGCCAGCUAAGGUCCCAAAGUCAUGGUUAAGUGGGAAACGAUGUGGGAAGGCCCAGACAGCCAGGAUGUUGGCUUAGAAGCAGCCAUCAUUUAAAGAAAGCGUAAUAGCUCACUGGUCGAGUCGGCCUGCGCGGAAGAUGUAACGGGGCUAAACCAUGCACCGAAGCUGCGGCAGCGACACUAUGUGUUGUUGGGUAGGGGAGCGUUCUGUAAGCCUGUGAAGGUGUGUCGUGAGGCAUGCUGGAGGUAUCAGAAGUGCGAAUGCUGACAUAAGUAACGAUAAAGCGGGUGAAAAGCCCGCUCGCCGGAAGACCAA
Molecule: ribosomal RNA, 1316 nt
Filed under: Salmonella enterica subsp. enterica serovar London
Lineage: Bacteria; Pseudomonadati; Pseudomonadota; Gammaproteobacteria; Enterobacterales; Enterobacteriaceae
Description: partial 23S ribosomal RNA
Rfam family: Bacterial large subunit ribosomal RNA
Source: RNAcentral